RNAcentral lists this unclassified non-coding RNA (324 nucleotides) under uncultured fungus. Its description in RNAcentral is "partial contains 5.8S ribosomal RNA, internal transcribed spacer 2, and large subunit ribosomal RNA". The record is from RNAcentral. Lineage: Eukaryota; Fungi.
AACGCAUAUGGCACCCGAGACUUCUGUCGAGGGUACGUCUGCCUCAGAGUCGGCGUGAAACCUCCACCCCCCCGGUCAACGGGCGGGGUCGGGAGCUGGCCUUCCCACGACCGCGGUAAGAGCGUGCCGUGGGUCGGCCGAAGGGGAGACACGGCGCGGCGCCGGGAUCUAUCCCCGGUGGCGACCACGAUUUGGUGGGAGGACCGCAGGUCCGCAUCAUCGUCGUGGCUGCCACCGCACGGGAACCGGGGUCCGCACCGCCUCACUAACUCUUAAAACUUACCAUUCGACCUGAGUUCAGGCGAGAUCACCCGCUGAACUUAA